CUACGGGUCGCUGCAGUGAGGAAUAUUGCACAAUGGGGGCAACCCUGAUGCAGCAACGCCGCGUGGAGGAUGACGCAUUUCGGUGUGUAAACUCCUUUUAUCAGAGAAGAACCAUGACGGUAUCUGAUGAAUAAGCUCCGGCUAACUCCGUGCCAGCAGCCGCGGUAAUACGGAGGGAGCAAGCGUUAUUCGGAAUCACUGGGCGUAAAGGACGCGUAGGCCGGUCUGUAAGUCAGGUGUGAAAUGCAAUGGCUCAACCAUUGAACUGCACUUGAAACUGCGGACCUAGAGUAUGGAAGGGGCAGAUGGAAUUAGUGGUGUAGAGGUAAAAUCCGUAGAUAUCACUAGGAAUACCGAAAGCGAAGGCGAUCUGCUGGGACAUAACUGACGCUGAGGCGUGAAAGCGUGGGGAGCAAACAGGAUUAGAUACCCUGGUAGUC
This 440-nucleotide ribosomal RNA is filed under the name uncultured bacterium. RNAcentral describes it as "partial 16S ribosomal RNA". It matches the Rfam family "Bacterial small subunit ribosomal RNA", at positions 339 to 795 of the family's 1533-position model. The record is from RNAcentral.